GGGAAAUCUCAGAGAAACCUGUAAAAUUCCGACAGGACUAGACAGAGUAAAUGCAGGAAGGAUCUUCCCAACGACCAGGGAGUCCAGAACCAGGGGUCACCGUGCAAGGACGUGGACUUCGAACAUUUCAGACUGAGCAAUGAGACAGAACACCAGUGCUCCAUUGGAGGCUCACUGAUGUUACCGAGCAUGGUGAUGAAACAUCUGAGAAGAAAUCUUCCAGCUCAGCGAGGAAACUUACAACCUGAUCCACAAUCAGAGCUAAAAUCUUAGCUAAAAUCGCAAACAUCGCUCAAUGACAGUGAUGAUAAACCUGCUCCAAUGAAGAAGGUGGCAUGCCACACAAAAUUUCUUGAUUUGAUCAAGGGAUCUGGUGGACACUAACAAAGCAACAGCUUUGUUGCUCAUUCCCAGUUGUUGAAAAGUGGGUGGCAGAUCUUUCCUUUCAACUCUUUCAGCUGUUGCUCAUGUUUCCAUUAUUACAUUUCAUGGAUUUCUGAGCCAACCAUUGGUAAAUGAUGCAUUCUACCAGGUAUUAGAAUUCAGCUAACAUACAUGUGAUUUGUGCACAGUAAAUGUCUGAUCUUUAGAAUUUGGGAAAGGAAAACAAAUCCAACAAAAACUCCAGCCUUGCUCAAGAACAAUGUUGACUCUCCUCCAUGACCCAACACCAUAUCACAGGGAGGUGAUGGCCUACCAUUAUUAUCACUAGACUUUUCAUCCAGAGACCUAGGUAAUAUUCAGGUGGCACAGUGGCUAACACUGCUACCUCACAGCACCAGAGACCUGGGUUCGAUUCUGGCCUCAGACAACUGUCUGUGGAAUUUGCACAUUCCCUGUGAAUGAGUGGAUUUUUUCCGGAUGCUCUGGUUUCCUCCCACAAUCCAAAGAUGCGUAGAUCAGGUAAAUUGCCCAUAGAAUUCAGGGGUGUGUAGGUUAGGGGC
Hemiscyllium ocellatum (epaulette shark) is the source of this 944-nucleotide long non-coding RNA. RefSeq lists it as uncharacterized. Lineage: Eukaryota; Metazoa; Chordata; Chondrichthyes; Orectolobiformes; Hemiscylliidae. The record is from RefSeq and is a predicted model, not a curated record. The transcript has 3 exons.